UUUCCGUAGGUGAACCUGCGGAAGGAUCAUUAUUGUAUAACCGAGGUGCGAGGGCUGUCGCUGACCCGAAAGGUCGUGCACGCCCGUGUGCCCUCACACACAUCCAUCUCACCCCUAUGUGCACCACCGCGUGGGUCCCCCUUUGGCUUGUUCGGAGGGGGGCUUACGUUUUCACACAAACUUUGUAUGCAGUGUAGAAUGUAUUUUUUGUUUUUGCGAUCACGCAAUCGAUGCAACAUUCAACAACGGAUCUCUUGGCUUUCGCAUCGAGAAGAACGCAGC
RNAcentral lists this unclassified non-coding RNA (282 nucleotides) under plant metagenome. Its description in RNAcentral is "partial contains small subunit ribosomal RNA, internal transcribed spacer 1, and 5.8S ribosomal RNA". The record is from RNAcentral.